UAACACGUAGGGAACCUGCCCAUGCGGCCGGGACGAACUUCCGGAAACGGAUGCUGAUACCGGAUAAGGAAAGCGAAGGCAUCUUUUGCUUUGUUAAAGGAGCUGCAAGGCUCCGCGCAUGGAUGGACCUGCGGUGCAUUAGCUGGUUGGUGAGGUAAAGGCUCACCAAGGCGACGAUGCAUAGCCGGCCUGAGAGGGCGAACGGCCACACUGGGACUGAGACACGGCCCAGACUCCUACGGGAGGCAGCAG
RNAcentral lists this ribosomal RNA (252 nucleotides) under uncultured bacterium. RNAcentral describes it as "partial 16S ribosomal RNA". It matches the Rfam family "Bacterial small subunit ribosomal RNA", at positions 111 to 354 of the family's 1533-position model. The record is from RNAcentral.